Molecule: ribosomal RNA, 372 nt
Filed under: uncultured organism
Description: partial 16S ribosomal RNA
Rfam family: Bacterial small subunit ribosomal RNA
Source: RNAcentral
GUAGGUGGCAAGCGUUGUCCGGAAUUAUUGGGCGUAAAGCGCGCGCAGGUGGUUUCUUAAGUCUGAUGUGAAAGCCCACGGCUCAACCGUGGAGGGUCAUUGGAAACUGGGGAACUUGAGUGCAGAAGAGGAAAGUGGAAUUCCAAGUGUAGCGGUGAAAUGCGUAGAGAUUUGGAGGAACACCAGUGGCGAAGGCGACUUUCUGGUCUGUAACUGACACUGAGGCGCGAAAGCGUGGGGAGCAAACAGGGAUUAGAUACCCUGGUAGUCCACGCCGUAAACGAUGAGUGCUAAGUGUUAAAGGGUUUCCGCCCUUUAGUGCUGCAGCUAACGCAUUAAGCACUCCGCCUGGGGAGUACGGUCGCAAGACUG